This 68-nucleotide transfer RNA is filed under the name Mesocricetus auratus (golden hamster). It matches the Rfam family "tRNA". From Rfam's summary of the family: Transfer RNA (tRNA) molecules are approximately 80 nucleotides in length. Their secondary structure includes four short double-helical elements and three loops (D, anti-codon, and T loops). The record is from Rfam by way of RNAcentral. Lineage: Eukaryota; Metazoa; Chordata; Mammalia; Rodentia; Cricetidae.
GGGGAUAUAGCUCAAUUGGUAGAGUGUUUGCCUAGCAUAAGACUUAGGUUUGAGCCCCACCAUCACCA